This 31-nucleotide non-coding RNA is filed under the name Trypanosoma brucei brucei. The record is from RNAcentral. Lineage: Eukaryota; Euglenozoa; Kinetoplastea; Trypanosomatida; Trypanosomatidae.
AAGCCCACUAGGGCAGUAUAUAGUAUCGUAU